Elaeis guineensis (African oil palm) is the source of this 1585-nucleotide non-coding RNA. Lineage: Eukaryota; Viridiplantae; Streptophyta; Magnoliopsida; Arecales; Arecaceae. The record is from RefSeq and is a predicted model, not a curated record.
AGGGUUUUAAACGCAGUAGCUAUAGGCCCCAGGUUUUCAAGAUCUCUCUUCUCCGUCCUCCCUUUGUCUUUGGCUGGCGAGGGUUUCGGAAAUCCAUCGUUGGAGCGGAGAGGAGGAGGAAGAAAACGAAGAGGCGAUGGUCUCUCCGCACCAGCUCCUCUCGACGGUCGAGGCCGCCCUUCUCGGCCGACGCCAUUCGUUCUUCCCUCUCGGCUCUCCUAAACCUCCUCUCCUACCCGACCCUCUCUCUUCUCGUCUUCUUCUUCUCGCUGCUGGUGGCUGUUUGAUUUCAUCGGCGUGCAGAGCCCUAAGGUGCCCGAUUGGUCUCAGGUUCAAUUCAAGGAGGUCAGGCUUCCCGAUUCAUCACCGUCUCGCUGCAUGACAUGGAUGUGCGGAUGGCUGUUGUGCUUGACCAGGGGCUGGAUGCUGAUCUUGUGGCUGACAUUCAGAAGCACUUGGAAUGUCUAUUUGGCUCUGGAAUAUGGCAACAGCUGAUUAUGUUGAUAAAGGAGGUGACUUCUCAAGUAAAGAUGGAUUUGUGUUCCAAACCUUGUGCCUAAGCUCUUUGGACUCUUACUUGUUUCUUCGUGCUUUCUGCUUAACCUUGCUUAUAUUCAGGCUUGGUACUUAUAAAAUGUGGUUUUUGGCGUAGCCAAGGUUUUCAGUGAGGGAAUUUUGUUAAGAGCUUGUGGAAUUGAAUGUUUAGAUGCUACAAUUGGGUAGUGAUUUGAGGGUGACUGUUGGAUUUUAGCUAUUUUGCAUGUAGAUUUUCAAAUAAUUUUGAAUUUAAGCAGCGAAAGUUAAGAUUAAAACAAUUUUAAUCCUAUGCAUGCAUAGAUCAAAAUCUUAUAUCUAUUGAUCUAGUUUAUAUGAUGAUAAAUAAGAUAUAAAGUAUCUGAUUUCAGAGAUUAAAAAUUUAUUGUGAUCGAAUCAGAUACCUGAAUCACAGAACUCCUCGAAUCCGGAUCUAUAGAUGCCUUCAGGUUCUGAUGUGGCCGUGCAUAUGCCCAGUCUCUAUGGAUAUCCACAUGAGACUUGAUCUGAUCAGAGGCUCUAUGUUCUCUCCGAGGUAUUAGCUCUCUUGCAGAGAAUACUUCUUUGAUGGUUGAACAAGAUCUCCUUCAAUCUCCAAGAUAAUCUUAAGAAGAAAGAAGACAAGAUGUAGGAGGAAGAAGACUUGGAGAGGAGAGAACCUUUCUCUCUUUCUCCCUAAAAUUUUCUCACGCCCCCAAAGAUAACCUAUGUCCAAAAGAAGGUUUUCAGAUGUUUCUUUAUGUUCCAAAGCCCCUCUAUUUAAAUAGGAGGCAUCUAAGGGUGAUAAGGCUAGAGUUUGUGUAAGACUAUGUUUGAUAGGAUCAAAUCCAAUCAAACAAGGAGUCCUAUUUUGAUCCAAUCAAAAUCAGAUCAAAUCAGAUUUGAUCUCAAACAACAAUGGACAUAAGAGAGGGGGUGUGGAGGUGUUUGGGCUGGUCAACCACAUGCCAAAUUAGAUUUGAUGUUGGGUUUAGGUGGUGCAAAAAGAGAGGUGGCGCCAAGGAGAAAUCUUUGUCCAACUAGGAUUCAUUUGUUUACUGAUUUAAAUCUA